GACUGAUGCAAGCCAGAUCCUUUUAUUUAGCAAAACUGUGAUUAAUAGUUAAAUAUUAUUUUUGAGGGGCAAAGACAGGACUCUGCAAGUACAUACACAUUUAAAAAAAUAAAAUAAAAUUAAAAUAAAAAAAAAAAACAAGCCUGAACAAAAGGGCACUUUGGGCACCCAUCAGGAAAGGGGCGGGUGCUCAAGCCCCUCCCACCUCCCCUCCUCUGCACGUGCCUCUUCGAGUGAUUUACUAAUCUAGGGGUGGGUGCUCAGUGGGUGCAGUCAAAGCUGUCCCCCAGUUCCUGUAUAGAGUCUUUGGUCCAGACUGGAACAACUGUGUGCCCAGUUUGAGCUCUCUUCAGUGCUGUGACCUGACAGACCCAGAGGGGCCAUCACAUCACAUUUACAAGCUUCCCUAAUGGAGCCACAACACAUGUCCAAUACUUAGUCUGUCUUGUUGGACAAACUGGAAGAAAUGAUUCAAGGACAGAAUUGAGAUUCAAAUCUCCAAAAUCCAACUGGCUGCAUCAGAGCAUAUAGUCUGAAAACUCUGCACAGUUUCCUGUUUGAAGCUGCUUCAUGUUGGCUUCAGCUGUUUGGAGUUUCCAUUUUCUAAACUUCUGAACCUUCUUCAGCUCUGAACAGAUUAUGAAACACUGAAUGAUUUCAAGCUCACACUUUGUCUAAUAAACUUCCAUCUUUCAUUAUUUAUACAGAUUGGAGACCUGUGAUUUGUCAAAGAUCAGCUGUGAUUAUCUGGCAGCAGCGCUGAAGUCCAACCCCUCCCAUCUGAGAGAGCUGUACCUGUGGGGAAACAACCUGCAGGAUCCAGAUGUGAAGCAGCUGUCUGAUCUUAAGGAGAGUCCAGACUGCAGACUGGAGACUCUGAGGUGGAGAUGGUGGUAAACAGGACGGUGUGUGCUGAGAGAGGAGGAGCUGUGUCCUGAUGAUUCAGAGAGGUUGAAGCAGCAGCAGCUUGUGUGUAGAGACGCUCUGACUGGGCCAUGUUACUGGGAGGUGGAGAGGAGAGCUUCAUCCAGCAGUGACUGACAGAGGAAUGAAGUGCAGAUGACUGUCAGUGCUGCAGAGUGAACUGCUCUGAGAACAUCUCCACUGUCAGACACAAUGUAGAGUCCAGCAUCAUCCCUGUGUGUCCCUCUGGAUCUGACAGAGGAUCAUCAGUGUAUCUGGACUGCUCUGCUGCUGCUCUGUCCUUCUACAGUCUCUGCACAGUCUCUGUCUAACACUGGCUUCAGACCCUCCUGGAUCAAACUCACCUGGAAAGGCUUUCAAACACCUUUGAAUAAUAAACAUCAUGUUUUUAUAAGAUAAAUAUCAUGUUUUCAUUAGGGGUGCAACAAUACUCGUAUCAAUAGUGAACCGUUCGAUACACUGCUUUCGGUUCGGUACGCAUAUGUAUCGAACAAUACAAAUUUUUUUAUUUAUUUUAUCAACUUUUUGUCUGACGAUGCUGUCUGUGUUGAGCGCUCAGUGGAUCUGCGUUUGACCACUCCUCUUACGCUGCACUGUCGAGUGCAGAUCCACUGAGCUUAGCGCAAGCUAGCAAGACA
This is a long non-coding RNA of Oreochromis niloticus (Nile tilapia), 1562 nucleotides long. The record is from Ensembl. NCBI's taxonomy places the organism in Eukaryota, Metazoa, Chordata, Actinopteri, Cichliformes, Cichlidae.